RNAcentral lists this transfer RNA (72 nucleotides) under Buchnera aphidicola (Rhopalosiphum padi). RNAcentral's name for it is "tRNA-Ala". It matches the Rfam family "tRNA". Rfam says of the family: Transfer RNA (tRNA) molecules are approximately 80 nucleotides in length. Their secondary structure includes four short double-helical elements and three loops (D, anti-codon, and T loops). Further hydrogen bonds mediate the characteristic L-shaped molecular structure. tRNAs have two regions of fundamental functional importance: the anti-codon, which is responsible for specific mRNA codon recognition, and the 3' end, to which the tRNAs corresponding amino acid is attached (by aminoacyl-tRNA synthetases). tRNAs cope with the degeneracy of the genetic code in two manners: having more than one tRNA (with a specific anti-codon) for a particular amino acid; and 'wobble' base-pairing, i.e. permitting non-standard base-pairing at the 3rd anti-codon position. Lineage: Bacteria; Pseudomonadati; Pseudomonadota; Gammaproteobacteria; Enterobacterales; Erwiniaceae. The record is from RNAcentral.
GGGGCUAUAGUUCAGAGGCAGAGCGUUUGCAUGGCAUGCAAGAUGUCGGCGGUUCGAUUCCGCCUAGCUCCA